RNAcentral lists this ribosomal RNA (177 nucleotides) under uncultured Ureaplasma sp. RNAcentral describes it as "partial 16S ribosomal RNA". It matches the Rfam family "Bacterial small subunit ribosomal RNA", at positions 358 to 527 of the family's 1533-position model. The record is from RNAcentral. Lineage: Bacteria; Bacillati; Mycoplasmatota; Mycoplasmoidales; Mycoplasmoidaceae.
AGCCUCUUUAAAUGUAGACGCAGCCUUAUGAAGCAAUGCCGCGUGAACGAUGAAGGUCUUAUAGAUUGUAAAGUUCUUUUAUAUGGGAAGAAACGCUAAAAUAGGAAAUGAUUUUAGUUUGACUGUACCAUUUGAAUAAGUAUCGGCUAACUAUGUGCCAGCAGCCGCGGUAAUACA